CCUACGGGUGGCAGCAGUGAGGAAUAUUGGUCAAUGGGCGAGAGCCUGAACCAGCCAAGUCGCGUGAAGGAUGAAGGAUCUAUGGUUUGUAAACUUCUUUUAUAUGGGAAUAAAGUGAGGAACGUGUUCCUCUUGGUAUGUACCAUAUGAAUAAGCAUCGGCUAACUCCGUGCCAGCAGCCGCGGUAAUACGGAGGAUGCGAGCGUUAUCCGGAUUUAUUGGGUUUAAAGGGUGCGUAGGUGGUUAAUUAAGUCAGCGGUGAAAGUUUGUGGCUCAAACAUAAAAUUGCAGUUGAAACUGGUUGACUUGAGUAUAUGUGAGGUAGGCGGAAUGCGUGGUGUAGCAGUGAAAUGCAUAGAUAUCACGCAGAACUCCGAUUGCGAAGGCAGCUUACUAAACUAUAACUGACACUGAGGCACGAAAGCGUGGGGAUCAAAAGGGAUUAGAUACCCCUGUAGUC
Molecule: ribosomal RNA, 460 nt
Filed under: uncultured bacterium
Lineage: Bacteria
Description: partial 16S ribosomal RNA
Rfam family: Bacterial small subunit ribosomal RNA
Source: RNAcentral